UAUCUCUGUAGAGUCUGCAUAUCAAUAAGCGGAGGAAAAGAAACUAACUAGGAUUCCCUCAGUAACGGCGAGUGAAGCGGGAAGAGCUCAAAUUUGAAAUCUUCAAGGUUCUACCUUGACGAAUUGUAGUUUAAAGAAGUGUUUUCUGUUAGAUGAGUAGCAAAAGUUCCUUGGAAUGGGACAUCAUAGAGGGUGAGAAUCCCGUAUUUGACCAUUAUUUCCAGCUUUGUGAUACACUUUCAAAGAGUCGGAUUGUUUGGGAAUGCAGUCCAAAAUGGGUGGUAAAUUUCAUCUAAAGCUAAAUACUGGCGAGAGACCGAUAGCGAACAAGUACCGUGAGGGAAAGAUGAAAAGAACUUUGAAAAGAGAGUUAAAUAGUACGUGAAAUUGUCAAAAGGGAAGCGUUUGACACCAGUGUUGUUUUCUCGAAAAUCAAUUAAAAAAGGCAGGAUUUUGUGUUGUAUUGACUUUAUCAGCUUUCUGCACUCUUUCCUUGUCUUUUUUAAUGCACUUUUCGUUUAACAAGUCAACAUCAAUUUCUUUUGUUGUAAAAGGGUCAUUGGAAGGUGGCUUUCUUUUCGGAGAAAGUGUUUAUAGCCUUUGGCCUCUGCAAUCGGAGAGAUUGAGGUCUGCAGCGUAGAUCCUUCGGGGUUAGAUACAUCUGUGCUAAGUUAUAGCCUUUCAUAGACAACUUGUUGACUAUGAUCAGUCAUGUAGCUUACUCGCUUAUGCUAUUUUACCUACGCUUAGGAUGUUGAAGAUGUAGCACAUCAU
Molecule: ribosomal RNA, 774 nt
Filed under: uncultured Neocallimastigales
Lineage: Eukaryota; Fungi; Neocallimastigomycota; Neocallimastigomycetes; Neocallimastigales
Description: partial large subunit ribosomal RNA
Rfam family: Eukaryotic large subunit ribosomal RNA
Source: RNAcentral